AUUGAACGCUGGCGGCAUGCUUUACACAUGCAAGUCGAACGGUAACAGGGUGCUUGCACCGCUGACGAGUGGCGAACGGGUGAGUAAUGCAUCGGAAUGUACCGUGUAAUGGGGGAUAGCUCGGCGAAAGCCGGAUUAAUACCGCAUACGCCCUGAGGGGGAAAGUGGGGGACCGAAAGGCCUCACGUUAUACGAGCAGCCGAUGUCUGAUUAGCUAGUUGGUGAGGUAAAGGCUCACCAAGGCGUCGAUCAGUAGCGGGUCUGAGAGGAUGAUCCGCCACACUGGGACUGAGACACGGCCCAGACUCCUACGGGAGGCAGCAGUGGGGAAUUUUGGACAAUGGGCGCAAGCCUGAUCCAGCCAUGCCGCGUGUCUGAAGAAGGCCUUCGGGUUGUAAAGGACUUUUGUCCGGGAGCAAAUCCUAGCGGUUAAUACCUACUGGGGCUGAGAGUACCGGAAGAAUAAGCACCGGCUAACUACGUG
RNAcentral lists this ribosomal RNA (484 nucleotides) under uncultured bacterium. RNAcentral describes it as "partial 16S ribosomal RNA". It matches the Rfam family "Bacterial small subunit ribosomal RNA", at positions 30 to 507 of the family's 1533-position model. The record is from RNAcentral.